This 468-nucleotide ribosomal RNA is filed under the name uncultured bacterium. Its description in RNAcentral is "partial 16S ribosomal RNA". It matches the Rfam family "Bacterial small subunit ribosomal RNA", at positions 28 to 507 of the family's 1533-position model. The record is from RNAcentral.
GACGAACGCUGGCGACGUGCUUAACACAUGCAAGUCGAACGGAAAGGCCCUGCUUUUGUGGGGUGCUCGAGUGGCGAACGGGUGAGUAACACGUGAGUAACCUGCCCUUGACUUUGGGAUAACUUCAGGAAACUGGGGCUAAUACCGGAUAGGAGCUCCUGCUGCAUGGUGGGGGUUGGAAAGUUUCGGCGGUUGGGGAUGGACUCGCGGCUUAUCAGCUUGUUGGUGGGGUAGUGGCUUACCAAGGCUUUGACGGGUAGCCGGCCUGAGAGGGUGACCGGCCACAUUGGGACUGAGAUACGGCCCAGACUCCUACGGGAGGCAGCAGUGGGGAAUAUUACACAAUGGGCGGAAGCCUGAUGCAGCAACGCCGCGUGCGGGAUGACGGCCUUCGGGUUGUAAACCGCUUUCGCCUGUGACGAAGCGUGAGUGACGGUAAUGGGUAAAGAAGCACCGGCUAACUACGUG